RNAcentral lists this transfer RNA (72 nucleotides) under Bos taurus (domestic cattle). It matches the Rfam family "tRNA". Rfam says of the family: Transfer RNA (tRNA) molecules are approximately 80 nucleotides in length. RNAcentral also lists the same sequence under 4 other names. The record is from Rfam by way of RNAcentral. Lineage: Eukaryota; Metazoa; Chordata; Mammalia; Artiodactyla; Bovidae.
UCCCUUGUAGCUCAGUUAGUAAAGAAUCUGCCUGCAAUGCAGGAGACCUGGGUUCGAUUCCUGGGUUGGGAA